This 291-nucleotide small nuclear RNA is filed under the name Aotus nancymaae (Ma's night monkey). RNAcentral's name for it is "7SK RNA (ENSANAG00000007893.1)". It matches the Rfam family "7SK RNA". Rfam says of the family: 7SK was discovered as an abundant small nuclear RNA in the mid-70s but a possible function has only recently been suggested. Two independent studies have found that 7SK RNA binds the CDK9/cyclin T complex (known as elongation factor P-TEFb). The record is from RNAcentral. Lineage: Eukaryota; Metazoa; Chordata; Mammalia; Primates; Aotidae.
GGAUGUGAGGGCAAUCUGUCUGCAACAUCUGUCACCCCGUUGAUUCUGCUGAUCUGGCUGGCUAGGCAGGUGUCUGCUUCCGCCCUCACUACUCUAUGCAUGUCCCUCCCAGAGCUGCGUGCUCGGUCGAAGAGGACAACCAUCCCCAACAGAGGAGAACUGGUCUUGGUUAAGGGUAUACGAGUAGCUGCACUCCCCUGCUAGAACCUCCAAACAAGCUCUCAAGUUCCACCAGUUCCACUCUCAUGAUAACCCAUUAAUCCAUUGACCCACUAAUCCAUGAAUGGAUUA